CGCACAGUGCCCGCGCGCUGCAUGCUCGUAACUACACCCUUUUCCUGUUGGUACACAUGGUACAGUGACAAAGAGAAUCAGCCCGAGGAACUGACUCGAUUGGUUCCCGAUCUGCACCACGAAGUGACAAUAAUCACAGCACGGUUCCAGCUCACUUCGGUCUUCCACUGCAGAACGGUCGUUGCGGCAGAAUAAUGACCGGCGUGCGGGCAAGCGGGGAAGCAAGCGAGAGAGCCGCUCCAGAGGGUUAACAGAGGUUCUCACCAGCAUUGUCAACUUCUCACAAGCCUUGACUACAGUCUCUACCUGCCUACAGCCGCCAUCCCAGUGCCAAGUCCUCAGUAGCAUGUACAUGCGAUGACUUCCGCCCUGUGGCAAUACCUCUGAUAGUCAUGAAGUGCUCUGUGAGCCUGAUGCAAGCUCACAUCAAGGCCAACAUUCCACUAGCCCUGGACAAACAUCAGUAUGUGUCCAGCGAAAACAGAUCCACUGAAGGUGCCAUCUCAUCUGCUCUCUCCAACAUUUUUGCACACACAGACCACCAUAACACCUAUGUAUGUAUUUAAGAACAUAAUUUCCUAACAGCUGGUAUCCAGACUCGAUGACCUUGGCCUGAACACACCACACUUCAACUCUGUUCUGGAUUUCUUUUAUCAACAAACCACAAGCCGUCAGACUGGCCAUGAGAUUCUCUGCCGUCUUAAUGCUCAGCACAGAAGCCCUGCAGGACUGCACACUGAGCUCCGUGCUCUAUCCGCUGUUCACUCAUGACUGCAAUCCUGCCUCAGUUUCAACCACCAUCAUCAUGUUUGCAGACGGCACAACAGCAUACAGUGGCUGGCUGGUGCUCAGCAAAUAACAAGGCUCUCAACACCAAAAGCACCAAGGAAAAUCCAAAUGUGUCACAUCUCCAAACCCACAUAAACGACAGUGCAGUUGAGAGAGUCUCCAGCUUCUUACACAUCACUGAAGACCUCUCACAAUCUCACUCCUCUUCUCUAGCUUAGCUUCUGUGUCUGAGAUCGGAAGGCCACGGGUUCAAGCCCUGGCCUCGGCAGAAUAGUCACAUGUCCGUGGGGACCUGAGCGAGGCACAGCUACAGGGGUGCUACACACUGGCUAACACUGCACUGUGACCCCCAAGCAUGGUUGUAUAUGCGUCUCUGUGUCUCAGCGAGAGGAAGAUGGGGUAGGUGAAAAGAGAAUUUCCCCAUGGGGAUUAAUGAAGUAUCACUAUUCUAAACUGUCUUUUAUUCCCGAGGAGGUUAGGGUUAGGUUUAGGGUUAGGUUUAGGGUUAGGAGCCCAUCUGCUACGACAACUCCUGAAUUUCUGUCGGUUCACGGCAGAGAGCGUCUUCACACGCUGCAUUACAGCCUGGUACUCCAGCUGUUCCUCCGCGAACUGGAAAGCCCUGCCGCGGAUCGUCAAGGCAGCCGAACACAUCACUGGACUACAGAUGCUAGACAUGGAGGGCAUCUAUAACCAUCGCUGACUUCGGAAGGCCCUCAAGAUCACCUCUGACCUAACUCACCCUGGAUCUGCUCCGUUCAGUCAUUUUCCAUUAAGAUAAAGAUACACGGCUAUACAGACCCUCUCCUCAGAGCUACUGCCAGGCUAAACUUCACCUGCCACCGUUAGG
Long non-coding RNA from Paramormyrops kingsleyae, 1639 nucleotides. RefSeq lists it as uncharacterized. NCBI's taxonomy places the organism in Eukaryota, Metazoa, Chordata, Actinopteri, Osteoglossiformes, Mormyridae. The record is from RefSeq and is a predicted model, not a curated record.